ACACGUAAGGGGCAAGCGUUGUUCGGAACUAUUGGGCGUAAAGGGCGCGUAGGCGGUUUUACAAGUCUGGUGUGAAAGACCUCAGCUUAACUGAGGGACCGCGCUGGAAACUGUAAGACUAGAAUCUAGGAGGGGAAGCUGGAAUUCCUGGUGUAGGGGUGAAAUCUGUAGAUAUCAGGAAGAACACCGGUGGCGAAGGCGAGCUUCUGGCCAUAGAUUGACGCUGAGGCGCGAAAGCGUGGGGAGCGAACAGGAUUAGAAACCCUAGUAGUCC
This 274-nucleotide ribosomal RNA is filed under the name uncultured bacterium. Its description in RNAcentral is "partial 16S ribosomal RNA". It matches the Rfam family "Bacterial small subunit ribosomal RNA", at positions 523 to 796 of the family's 1533-position model. The record is from RNAcentral.